This 463-nucleotide long non-coding RNA is filed under the name Bemisia tabaci. RNAcentral's name for it is "lncRNA ENSASIAIIG008335". The record is from RNAcentral. Lineage: Eukaryota; Metazoa; Arthropoda; Insecta; Hemiptera; Aleyrodidae.
GCGCUAUUACAGUUUCCUAUUUUUUUUGUACUGUUGCAGACCAACGCAAUCUAGAUGCAUGGCGCCUCCAGCAGCGAAACAACCUUUCGAGCGCAACCGUGUUUCUUCGGCCGCUUCGACUUCUAGCCGUCAUAGUUUACGAGACGAUCAGGGGUACGAUGGAAUGGACGACGUAGUGCCACCUGCUCCCAGAGUCGAGAAACUGAAGUCAACUCCUUCACCUCAAGGGAGAGGACCAAUGAAAAGAGUCAAUCCUCGCUCUGGACUGAAGUCCGCUUCGAAUUUGCGGGUCGCGAAAACACCGAAGAGUUCGCCUUUAACCAAAAAAUCAUUUGUUGUUCCGUCUGCUGCUUCUGAUGAUAACACAGUGAGGCUCCGGCAGGACGAACCCAGAAAUCCCUCACGUGCCUUCAUCUGUUGAGUGACUCCGUCCCUGACCCUGAACACAGGCUGCGGCGGAAGA